This is a long non-coding RNA of Vitis riparia (riverbank grape), 1292 nucleotides long. RefSeq lists it as uncharacterized. The transcript is spliced from 3 exons. The record is from RefSeq and is a predicted model, not a curated record. NCBI's taxonomy places the organism in Eukaryota, Viridiplantae, Streptophyta, Magnoliopsida, Vitales, Vitaceae.
UCCAAAGUCUUUAUAAGCAAAAUCAAGCUCUUAUAGCAAUGUUCUCCUCAGAAAAAUGGUGUUCAAGCACAUGGGCUAAAAAGGUAGAAGGUGUGAAAACUCGAAGUACAGUGUUGUUUGAUCCAAAUUUUUGGCCUCAUGUUGCUUUUUGCAUAAAGACCAUUGUUCCAUUAGUUAGUGUCUUGAGAGAGGUUGAUUAAGAGGAAAGACCAGCCAUGGGUUAUAUUUAUGAGUUGAUGGAUUCAGCUAAGGAGAAGAUUGCAUUUAAUUGUGGAGGCAUGGAGAGAAAAUAUGGCCCAAUUUGGAGAAAAAUUGAUGCAAGAUGGACUUCGCAACUUCAUCGACCUUUACAUGCAGCAGGCUAUUAUCUUAAUCCUCAAUUGCGGUAUGGAGAUAAGUUCUCUAAUGUUGAUGAGGUGAGGAAGGGAUUAUUUGAAUGCAUGGAUAGGAUGUUGGAUUAUCAAGAACGUUUAAAAUCUGACAUUCAGUUGGACUCAUAUGACCAAGCAAUGGGUGAAUUUGGGAGUCGUAUUGCAAUUGAUUCUUGAACAUUAAGAAGUCCUACAAGUUGGUGGAAACGUUUUGGGGGUUCAACACCGGAGUUGCAAAAGUUUGCUAUUCGAGUCCUUAGCCUUACUUGUAGUGCUUCGGGAUGUGAAAGAAAUUGGAGCACAUUUGAAUCGAUCCAUACAAAAAAAAGAAAUAGACUUGAACAUCAAAGGUUGAAUGCUCUAGUGUAUGUAAGGUACAACACUAGAUUGAGAGAGCGAAGUCUACAAAGGAAACAAAAUGUUGAUCCAAUCUUGGUAGAGGAGAUUGAUUCCGAUGAUGAAUGGAUUGCGGAGAAAGAAGAUCCCCUCCUCCCCCUUGAUCUUUGUUGGCUUCAAGAUAAUGAAUUAUUCAAUGUUGAUGCCAUUAGAGUUGUGUCAUCCAACUCCCAAGAGACGCAAGCAUCAUCGGAUCAUAUGGUUUCUUCACAUUCCUACAAAAGGAAACAUAAUGAAGUACCAAGUACAAGUGGAGGCAAAGGCAAAUAGAAGGAAUUGAAUUUGACACCAAUUGAUGAAGAUGAAGAUUUAAAUGAAAUGGGGAUACAUGAUAGUGGACAUUUUCCUACUAUUGAUACAUUGGAUGAGGAUGAUGAUGACCUUGGAGAGGAGGAUUUAAGUUGAAACAAUUUACUCUAGUUGUUAUUUCAUGACUUAGUUAUGGAUUUUUUGUAAAAGUUUAGAACUAUUAUUAUGGUUGACUCUAUUUUCUAUUUCAUGACUUAGUUAUGGCUUUUUGUUAAA